Molecule: long non-coding RNA, 1066 nt
Filed under: Sorghum bicolor (sorghum)
Lineage: Eukaryota; Viridiplantae; Streptophyta; Magnoliopsida; Poales; Poaceae
Description: long non-coding RNA (SBIC_LNC004065)
Source: RNAcentral
ACCGCCAGCCAGCAGCAGAGCAGAGCAGCCCCAGCCCAGCACCCCCACAGGCCACAGCACAUCGAUCGCCAUGCCCGCCACCUUCCCGCCGCCGCCGCCGCCGCCGCCUCCCUCUCACAACCUUCCUCCGCUGCUGUCUUCCAACGAGUCCUUCUCCAAGUUCUUCGAGUCCUGGAUCGGCGAGCAGUCCCGCGACCUGGAGGAGCUCCGCGCCGCGGCGUCCGCGGAGCCGGCCGCCCCCGAGGCCGACCUCCGCCGCCUCGUCGACCAGGUGAUGGGCCACUACGCGCAGUACUACAGCACCAAGGCCGCGGCCGCGGCCGGCGACGUGAGCAUGAUGUUCACCCCGUCCUGGACCUCCACCACCGAGAACCUCUACCUCUGGUGCGGCGGGUGGCGCCCCACCGCCGCGAUCCAGCUGCUGUACACCAAGUGCGGGAUGCAGCUCGAGCACCGGCUCCCCGUCUUCCUCGACGGCGGCGGCCUCAAUAAGGACGACCUCAGCGACCUCAGCGUCGCGCAGCUCCGGGCCGCCGACCAGCUGCAGCACCGCACCAUCAGCAGGGAGCGCGAGAUCGAGGAGGUCGCCGCGACCGCACAGGUGAGUGAGUAAAAAUAAAAAAAAUCAGCGGCACUUUUUUUCUUCCAGAAAUGAAAUAUCCAGUGAGGUCAACGAGGGCCGCAUGUGCAGGAGGCGCUGACGUCGAAGACGAUGGUGGAGCUCGCGGGCGGCGGCGGCGGCGGCGGCGGCGGGAUGGACGCGGGGGCGAUGGACCGGGAGAUGCAGACGAAGGCGGAGGGGAUGAGGCAGGUGCUGGAGAUGGCGGACGGGCUGCGGCUCGAGACGAUGCGCGAGGUGGUGGCGCUGCUCCGCCCCGCGCAGGCCGUGCACUUCCUCCUCGCCGCCGCCGAGCUCCACCUCGCCGUGCAUGACUUCGGGCGCCGCAAGGACGGGCACGCCGGCAACGCCGCCGCCGCCGCCGCCGCGCCGCCGGAGUGACGCUGACGCGCCUGGCUGCUCUGCUUUGCGUGUAUCGUGUAAUGGCUCCCCUGUUCCAAGCGGCGC